Rhododendron vialii is the source of this 1538-nucleotide long non-coding RNA. RefSeq lists it as uncharacterized. NCBI's taxonomy places the organism in Eukaryota, Viridiplantae, Streptophyta, Magnoliopsida, Ericales, Ericaceae. The record is from RefSeq and is a predicted model, not a curated record. The transcript has 9 exons.
UAAUUCAAUAGCGUUCUUUUAAGAAUGCUAUAAUAAAGGACCAACAAUAGCAUUCCUUAAACUACAAGGACCAACAACAGCGUUUCAAAAACACGGAAGGAAUUUAUAGCAUUUUCAUUUAAACCUCGUCUACAGACUACAGCGUUUCGACCUAAAUAUAUUGGGCGGAAACCCUUGGACACCUCUGAAAUUUUCGAACCCUCCACCAGGGGAUGGGGCUUCCGAUUCUCGAGUUUUGAAUGCUGGAACCGACCUUCUCGACGAAUCCUCCGAAGCCACUUGUGCCGUUGAGGUUUUCGUCACUGGCGGAGGGCUUGAAGACCAGGGAUCGACAGACUUAGCUGAUGAAGUCAUUCGUUUUCUGAAAUAUUGGGCGAAAAACCUUGGAUCCUCACAAACGCCUUUGAAAUUUUCUCAAUCAUUGUUGUGCGAACUGGUUUGGAUGGAUCUGUUGUGAUUCUAGACUUUUGUUCAUUUCAGUUUGGAAGGAGUUAUAGUUGAACAUUUAGACAAUGGCAGUCAAUUGGUUCACAACAAUGGACAUAGAUGGCCUCAUCAGGUGGAAUUUGAUUCUAAUGGAAAAGCCUUUGGAGUGACAUCGGAAGGAGAAACUGCAAAAUGCAAAAAAGUAGUUUGUGAUCCUUCAAAUUUGCCUAGCAAGGUAAAGAAGGUUGGGGAAGUAGCUCGUGCUAUAUGCAUUAUGAGUCAUCCCAUCCCUCACACCCAUGAUGCUCACUCAGUCCAGGUUAUUCUGCCCCAGAAACAACUUCGUCUUAAGUCUGAUGUAUAUAUGGGAUCAAUGUGACAUCUGGUGCUGUUGUUUCAGCUUUGAAUAUCUCCUCGGGAGAUCAUGUCACCUGCUUGCAGAGGAUGGCGGGCUUGAUUGGAAUGUGCUUGAGGGUGCAGUGACAGCUUGCAAAGGAUGGCAGGCUUAACUUGAAUUUUACUCUCCCCUAUAGAGGCACACUUAGUACAGCCUUAAUCCAUCAAAUCACUGCAUGAUAGGAAGAUUUUGGGAUGGAAAAGACAAGUGAAAAAUUCAAGAGCGUUAACAAUAACCCUAAAUGCAACAAGUGGACGUUGGUCUUUUAGUGAUGCACAUACCCGUGGUCAUGUACUUAUCUAUCCUAGCGCAAUGGUAGUUUGGGUGGAUGUUGUAAAGAAACCGGAAGUAUUUUUGUGGAGUAGUGAGUGACAUGACAUGGUUUAUGUUGAAGAAUCUGUUGGAACUAUUGUUGCUUGGCUGACAAAGUUAUUAUGGACUCGACAUGAGGGUCGACUCUGGGUUGAAAGACAAGAUUGGUGUUUUGUGACUUUCGCUCAAGAUGGAGAUAUGAUCAUGUGCCAGUGUCAGCCGGGCAUUGCUCAAGCCUUUUCCUUGACACAUUUACUGGCUUCUCACCGUCAAGCCUUGUAGUCCACUUUUGGGGUAUAUAUGUUUAAGGGUGGGCUUGAAGUCAACUGAAUUUCCUUCAUUUUUAAGUUAACAUGUAUAGUACCUGAUGUUGAUGAAGUACAAUUUUCUUUUUGAUUUUGUA